ACCCGUUCUUUCUAAACAAUCGGGACAUACAAUCAUAUCAAUAUCUCGAUGAGAGUAAUUCUCUAGAGUACAUGAUCCAGACAUGUGACCUUCUUCAUACUACCCAAGAGAACCUUAAAUAAGAAUCGUGAUCACCUCAAGAAGCUGCAUGAGAACAACCCUACAUAAUACAAGAUUGAGGAUUAAUGUUGAUCACGCUGGAUGGGUUUUGGGUGCAUAGAUCUUCAUAUCCCCGUAAGGUGGUCUUCGUAUCUCUUGGAAAGGUAGUCUUCAUGUCCCUAAAGGUUUGUUUUCAUGUCCCCGAGAGAGGCGGCCUUAUCUAUAACAUAUUUAUCUAAACACUAUUUCACAAACACACCCCCGAGGGAGCGCCCCCAUGACCAACCAUGGUGUAUCCUUGUAUAUCCAUCAUGUCUACUAGACAAUUUGCCCUCUAAGGUCGCGCCUCCCCCCGGUCAGGAUGAGCAUACCUUAUCAUCAUACAGCUCACUAGCCACCUAGCUAGCAAGAAGAUACCCAACCCAACAACGCUUGGCAAAAUCCCAGGGCCGGCCCUUGGGUAAGGCGACCAAGGCGAACGCCUAGGGCACCAUUAUCUCAGGGGCACCAAAAAAUCUAUGCAGUAGUAUAUAACGAUAAAUUCAUUCAUUUAUAUAUUUACAUGCAUUUAAAUUGAUUGUGUUAUUAAUUUUAAAACAUUGUUUUUGAUCAUGCCAAUGUAUAAUUUGAAUUUAUAUGUAAAUUUUUUCUUUACAAUCUUAAAAAUAGGGGCACCAUUUUCAAAAUUCGUCUAGGGCACUCAAAUCUCUAGGGCCGGCCCUGCAAAAUCCAACCAUAACAAGUACUCCCCACAUUCUCCUGACAUAGAAAAUGUUAAUGGAAUCUCUAAGAUAAAGCAUAAACUCUUCAUAUCACCUACACAUUCCUUCACGUAGCUUUGACGGCACGCCACCACCAAAGGUGUCUGUCCUGCUAGAACUCGAUCUCACUGCAAACUUAUCUUAAAUAGCAACUCAAUUCCACUCAUUAGAAUCAAACCAUAUAUAUCUUUUUAAAAAUUCCAAAAGAUUUAUUUAUUACAAAAGAAAAUAAUUUAUUUCACAAAUGUAAAGUACUACCUC
RNAcentral lists this long non-coding RNA (1121 nucleotides) under Daucus carota (carrot). RNAcentral's name for it is "long non-coding RNA (DCAR_LNC004660)". Lineage: Eukaryota; Viridiplantae; Streptophyta; Magnoliopsida; Apiales; Apiaceae. The record is from RNAcentral.